Molecule: ribosomal RNA, 271 nt
Filed under: uncultured bacterium
Lineage: Bacteria
Description: partial 16S ribosomal RNA
Rfam family: Bacterial small subunit ribosomal RNA
Source: RNAcentral
GUCCUCCGGGGGGCAGCAGUGGGGAAUUUUGGACAAUGGGCGCAAGCCUGAUCCAGCUCUUCCUCGUGUGUUAUGAAGGCCCUCGGGUUGUAAACCACUUUUGUAGAGAACGAAAAGACACCUUCGAAUAAAGGGUGUUGCUGACGGUACUCUAAGAAUAAGCACCGGCUAACUACGUGCCAGCAGCCGCGGUAAUACGUAGGGUGCGAGCGUUAAUCGGAAUUACUGGGCGUAAAGGGUGCGCAGGCGGUUGAGUAAGACAGAUGUGGAA